ACCAAAAGAGCUCAGGUGGUAGAGCAUCAGAUUUUUAAUCUGAGGAUCUAGGGUUAAAGUCCUUGUUUGGGUA
This 73-nucleotide transfer RNA is filed under the name Sarcophilus harrisii (Tasmanian devil). It matches the Rfam family "tRNA". From Rfam's summary of the family: Transfer RNA (tRNA) molecules are approximately 80 nucleotides in length. Their secondary structure includes four short double-helical elements and three loops (D, anti-codon, and T loops). The record is from Rfam by way of RNAcentral. Lineage: Eukaryota; Metazoa; Chordata; Mammalia; Dasyuromorphia; Dasyuridae.